GAUGGAGUGGACAGAGUGGAGUGAGUGAGUGGGGAUGGAGUGGACAGAGUGGAGUGAGUGACGGGGGAUGGAGUGGACAGAGUGGAGUGAGUGAGUGUGGGAUGGAGUGGAUAGAGUGGAGUGAGUGAGUGUGGGAUGGAGUGGACAGAGUGGAGUGAGUGACGGGGGAUGGAGUGGACAGAGUGGAGUGAGUGAGUGAGGGAUGGAGUGGACAGAGUGGAGUGAGUGACGGGGGAUGGAGUGGAUAGAGUGGAGUGAGUGAGUGGGGGAUGGAGUGGACAGAGUGGAGUGAGUGAGUGAGGGAUGGAGUGGACAGAGUGGAGUGAGUGAGUGUGGGAUGGAGUGGACAGAGUGGAGUGAGUGACGGGGGAUGGAGUGGACAGAGUGGAGUGAGUGAGUGAGGGAUGGAGUGGACAGAGUGGAGUGAGUGAGUGUGGGAUGGAGUGGACAGAGUGGAGUGAGUGAGUGUGGGAUGGAGUGGACAGAGUGGAGUGAGUGACGGGGGAUGGAGUGGACAGAGUGGAGUGAGUGAGUGAGGGAUGGAGUGGACAGAGUGGAGUGAGUGACGGGGGAUGGAGUGGACAGAGUGGAGUGAGUGAGUGGGAGAUGGAGUGGACAGAGUGGAGUGAGUGAGUGGGGGAUGGAGUGGACAGAGUGGAGUGAGUGAGUGUGGGAUGGAGUGGACAGAGUGGAGUGAGUGAGUGAGGGAUGGAGUGGACAGAGUGGAGUGAGUGAGUGAGGGAUGGAGUGGACAGAGUGGAGUGAGUGACGGGGGAUGGAGUGGACAGAGUGGAGUGAGUGAGUGGGGGAUGGAGUGAGCAGAGUGGAGUGAGUGAGUGGGGAUGGAGUGGACAGAGUGGAGUGAGUGAGUGAGGGAUGGAGUGGACAGAGUGGAGUGAGUGAGUGUGGGAUGGAGUGGACAGAGUGGAGUGAGUGACAGGGGAUGGAGUGGACAGAGUGGAGUGAGUGGGGGAUGGAGUGGACAGAGUUGAGUGAGUGAGGAUGGAGUGAGCAGAGUGGUGUUACUCCUGCACUCAUGUGUGCUUGUGAGACCCCAUGAGGAUCACAGCCACCUUUAAACGCAGCUCUGGCUGAUGUGCUUUUUCCCAGA
Molecule: long non-coding RNA, 1111 nt
Filed under: Homo sapiens (human)
Lineage: Eukaryota; Metazoa; Chordata; Mammalia; Primates; Hominidae
Description: non-protein coding lnc-DPH7-1:1
Source: RNAcentral